Molecule: ribosomal RNA, 460 nt
Filed under: uncultured bacterium
Lineage: Bacteria
Description: partial 16S ribosomal RNA
Rfam family: Bacterial small subunit ribosomal RNA
Source: RNAcentral
CCUACGGGAGGCAGCAGUGAGGAAUAUUGGUCAAUGGCCGAGAGGCUGAACCAGCCAAGUCGCGUGAAGGAAGACGGCCCUACGGGUUGUAAACCUCUUUUGUCUGGGAGUAAAGCGAAGUACGUGUGCUUCAUUGAGAGUACCCGAAGAAUAAGCAUCGGCUAACUCCGUGCCAGCAGCCGCGGUAAUACGGAGGAUUCGAGCGUUAUCCGGAUUUAUUGGGUUUAAAGGGUGCGUAGGCGGGUGGUCAAGUCAGGCGUGAAAGUUUGGGGCUCAACCGCAAAAUUGCCGUUGAUACUGGCUCCCUUGAGUGCGCGAGAGGUAUGCGGAAUGCGUGGUGUAGCGGUGAAAUGCAUAGAUAUCACGCAGAACUCCGAUUGCGAAGGCAGCAUACCGGCGCGCAACUGACGCUGAUGCACGAAAGCGUGGGUAUCGAACAGGAUUAGAUACCCCUGUAGUC